Molecule: non-coding RNA, 77 nt
Organism: Characodon lateralis
Lineage: Eukaryota; Metazoa; Chordata; Actinopteri; Cyprinodontiformes; Goodeidae
Source: the annotation of a GenBank genome assembly
GGCUCCACAGUGGCGCAGUUGGUAGCACUGUUGCCUUACAGCAAGAAAGUUCUGGGUUCGAUUCCCGGCCGGGGUCU